Molecule: ribosomal RNA, 369 nt
Filed under: uncultured bacterium
Lineage: Bacteria
Description: bacterial SSU rRNA
Rfam family: Bacterial small subunit ribosomal RNA
Source: RNAcentral
AACGAACGCUGGCGGCAUGCCUAACACAUGCAAGUCGAACGCGUGUAGCAAUACACGAGUGGCGGACGGGUGAGUAACGCGUGGGAACCUGCCCAAUGGUAGGGAAUAACUGCGGGAAACUGCAGCUAAUACCCUAUGCUCCCUACGGGGGAAAGAUUUAUCGCCAUUGGAGGGGCCCGCGUCGGAUUAGCUAGUUGGCGGGGUAACGGCCCACAAGGCUACGAUCCGUAGCUGGUCUGAGAGGAUGAUCAGCCACACUGGGACUGAGAUACGGCCCAGACUCCUACGGGAGGCAGCAGUGGGGAAUAUUGGACAAUGGGGGAAACCCUGAUCCAGCAAUGCCGCGUGAGUGAAGAAGGCCUUAGGGUU